Molecule: non-coding RNA, 45 nt
Organism: Alligator mississippiensis (American alligator)
Lineage: Eukaryota; Metazoa; Chordata; Crocodylia; Alligatoridae
Source: Rfam
UCAAAGGCCUUUUUAAAGGCCAACUAGAUGACAUCUACCUUGAUU